RNAcentral lists this ribosomal RNA (431 nucleotides) under uncultured bacterium. RNAcentral's name for it is "partial 16S ribosomal RNA". It matches the Rfam family "Bacterial small subunit ribosomal RNA", at positions 29 to 507 of the family's 1533-position model. The record is from RNAcentral.
AGCGAACGCUGGCGGCAGGCCUAACACAUGCAAGUCGAGCGCCCCGCAAGGGGAGCGGCGGACGGGUGAGUAACGCGUGGGAAUAUGCCCUUUGCUACGGAAUAGUCUCGGGAAACUGGGGGUAAUACCGUAUACGCCCUUUGGGGGAAAGAUUUAUCGGCGAAGGAUUAGCCCGCGUUGGAUUAGGUAGUUGGUGGGGUAAUGGCCUACCAAGCCGACGAUCCAUAGCUGGUUUGAGAGGAUGAUCAGCCACACUGGGACUGAGACACGGCCCAGACUCCUACGGGAAGCAGCAGUGGGGAAUCUUAGACAAUGGGGGCAACCCUGAUCUAGCCAUGCCGCGUGAGUGAUGAAGGCCUUAGGGUUGUAAAGCUCUUUCAGCUGGGAAGAUAAUGACGGUACCAGCAGAAGAAGCCCCGGCUAACUCCGUG